AGGUAGAAUGGCCGANUAUUAGGCGGCAGGCUGUAAACCUGUUUACACGGGUUCAAGUCCUGUUUCUCCC
RNAcentral lists this transfer RNA (70 nucleotides) under Hoplodactylus sp. Southern Alps. Its description in RNAcentral is "tRNA-Tyr". It matches the Rfam family "tRNA". Rfam says of the family: Transfer RNA (tRNA) molecules are approximately 80 nucleotides in length. The record is from RNAcentral. Lineage: Eukaryota; Metazoa; Chordata; Lepidosauria; Squamata; Diplodactylidae.